GACGAACGCUGGCGGCGUGCUUAACACAUGCAAGUCGAACGCUGAAGCUCAGCUUUUGUUGGGUGGAUGAGUGGCGAACGGGUGAGUAACACGUGAGUAACCUGCCCCCUUCUUUGGGAUAACGCCCGGAAACGGGUGCUAAUACUGGAUAUUCACUGGUCUUCGCAUGGGGGUUGGUGGAAAGGGUUUUUCUGGUGGGGGAUGGGCUCGCGGCCUAUCAGCUUGUUGGGGGGGUGAUGGCCUACCAAGGCUUUGACGGGUAGCCGGCCUGAGAGGGUGACCGGUCACAUUGGGACUGAGAUACGGCCCAGACUCCUACGGGAGGCAGCAGUGGGGAAUAUUGCACAAUGGGCGCAAGCCUGAUGCAGCGACGCCGCGUGAGGGAUGGAGGCCUUCGGGUUGUGAACCUCUUUCGCUCAUGGUCAAGCCGCAACAAUGGUUGUGGUGAGGGUAGUGGGUAAAGAAGCGCCGGCUAACUACGUG
Molecule: ribosomal RNA, 483 nt
Filed under: uncultured bacterium
Lineage: Bacteria
Description: partial 16S ribosomal RNA
Rfam family: Bacterial small subunit ribosomal RNA
Source: RNAcentral